This 931-nucleotide unclassified non-coding RNA is filed under the name Hevea brasiliensis (rubber tree). The record is from RNAcentral. Lineage: Eukaryota; Viridiplantae; Streptophyta; Magnoliopsida; Malpighiales; Euphorbiaceae.
GUAGAAACACAAAUGAAGCCUUUGUUUGUUCUUAAAAAUCAAUCUUACUGAUGUCCUUCUGAAAAUCUGACAUAGUCACUGAUGGUAGAAAGGAUUUCUGGGCGUUAGGCGUCCUUGAAUCCUGGAAGCACAAAAGAAUGUUUAGCAUGGAGCUGGAUUUGGUUCCAGUGACUUCAUUUUUAUGUAGGAGCUAGAGAGAGAUUCAAAUAAAAAUUUUAGUCUUGAGUAUUUACAGGAUUUGUAACGUCAUACCUGUGUACAUAGAAUAAGGAGAGUUUUUGUAAGAGUUGCAGAGUGUUUAGGGUUUUAGGCUCUUCACUAGAAAGUGCUGAGGCCACUGAAGUGUGGUGAACUGUUAAUCAUUAAAUUAGUCAUUUAUUUGUGAUUUUUUAAGAGGGCAUACCUGAAAGUUGGAAUUUUGGAUUCAGAAUUGUUAUGCAUCCCCAUGCUAUGAAUAUUCUGUUACAGUUAGUCAGCUCUGGUAAUACUUCCCAAGUCUUCUGUCCGAGGACCUGGGUCUACACUCUAGAUUCAUUUCAUCUGAUCAGAUUUUUGCAUUGACUACAACAUUGCUGCUUUGUCUUUCAACUUGUUCAGCUUCCAUGUGUAAGCAUCUCAGAAGCUGGCAAUCUUCAGUUUCAGCUUGUUUUCCUGCAAGCUCAAGAAAAGGGCUUUUUCUUCUUUUAUUUAUUUUUAAUUCAUCAUCUCUGUGUGCAUGUGCAGAAUGUGAUGUACAAUACGUAUAAACUUCUCCGAUAUGUUUUUCUUCAUACUCUUUCUGGACAUUUAUGAUUUAUCAGUGCUUAAAAUUUAUGCGUUGUUUGGCCAAUAUAAAUUGAAAUUGAAUUUUCUUCAUUGAAGUGGCAUGUAAAUUGAUCAAGCCUUGUGCUGGUUUUUAUUCAAUUUGCAGGGAAAUUGGUUGAAACUGUAG